Molecule: ribosomal RNA, 497 nt
Filed under: uncultured bacterium
Lineage: Bacteria
Description: partial 16S ribosomal RNA
Rfam family: Bacterial small subunit ribosomal RNA
Source: RNAcentral
GAUGAACGCUGGCGGCGUGCCUAAUACAUGCAAGUCGAGCGAACAGACGAGGAGCUUGCUCCUCUGACGUUAGCGGCGGACGGGUGAGUAACACGUGGAUAACCUACCUAUAAGACUGGGAUAACUUCGGGAAACCGGAGCUAAUACCGGAUAAUAUAUUGAACCGCAUGGUUCAAUAGUGAAAGACGGUUUUGCUGUCACUUAUAGAUGGAUCCGCGCCGCAUUAGCUAGUUGGUAAGGUAACAGCUUACCAAGGCAACGAUGCGUAGCCGACCUGAGAGGGUGAUCGGCCACACUGGGACUGAGACACGGUCCAGACUCCUACGGGAGGCAGCAGUAGGGAAUCUUCCGCAAUGGGCGAAAGCCUGACGGAGCAACGCCGCGUGAGUGAUGAAGGUCUUCGGAUCGUAAAACUCUGUUAUUAGGGAAGAACAAAUGUGUAAGUAACUAUGCACGUCUUGACGGUACCUAAUCAGAAAGCCACGGCUAACUACGUG